RNAcentral lists this ribosomal RNA (472 nucleotides) under uncultured Sphingobacteriales bacterium. Its description in RNAcentral is "bacterial SSU rRNA". It matches the Rfam family "Bacterial small subunit ribosomal RNA", at positions 916 to 1381 of the family's 1533-position model. Lineage: Bacteria; Pseudomonadati; Bacteroidota; Sphingobacteriia; Sphingobacteriales. The record is from RNAcentral.
GACGGGGCCCGCACAAGCGGAGGAACAUUGUGGUUUAAUUCGAUGAUACGCGAGGUAACCUUACCUGGGCUUAAAUGUAGAGUGCUAUUUUUUAGAGAUAGAAAUUCCCUUCGGGGCUUUCUGCAAGGUGCUGCAUGGUUGUCGUCAGCUCGUGCCGUGAGGUGUCGGGUUAAGUCCCAUAACGAGCGCAACCCUUAUCGUUAGUUGCCAUCUGGUAAUGCAGGGGACUCUAGCGAAACUGCCACCGUAAGGUGAGAGGAAGGUGGGGAUGACGUCAAAUCAGCACGGCCCUUAUGUCCAGGGCUACACACGUGUUACAAUGGUCGGUACAGAGGGCAGCUACCUGGUGACAGGAUGCUAAUCUCGAAAACCGGUCUCAGUUCGGAUCGAAGUCUGCAACUCGACUUCGUGAAGCUGGAUUCGCUAGUAAUCGCGCAUCAGCUAUGGCGCGGUGAAUACGUUCCCGGGCCUU